AAAGUUUUUUAACCACCCUUAUUAAAUAAUGCUUUUUUCCCUCAACUCUCCCUGUCCUGUUCUAUGUUUCUGGACAACAUACAUUAUAAUACAAGGACAGAUGAUGGACAUGAACAUAUUCAAGCACACCUGUUACAUAUUCAUUUUUUGUCUUCCUGAUAUUUCCUUGGCCCACCUCUUGCAAUACAUAGCUGUUUAGUCUUUGUAACUAAAGAAGAAUUGUGGAUUGAUAAAGAAAACAAAUAAAAGUGAUUUAAUUAUUACCCUUAAUUCGAUUAUUGCUUUAUAAGAUUCUGAUUUUUGUAAAUGUGUUACCAAUGAAAUACAGCAAAUGAAUGGACAUAUUGGCAAAUAUUUCCCUCAGGCUCAGCCAUCCUAU
Long non-coding RNA from Phyllostomus hastatus (greater spear-nosed bat), 379 nucleotides. RefSeq lists it as uncharacterized. Lineage: Eukaryota; Metazoa; Chordata; Mammalia; Chiroptera; Phyllostomidae. The transcript has 3 exons. The record is from RefSeq and is a predicted model, not a curated record.